This 903-nucleotide ribosomal RNA is filed under the name uncultured organism. RNAcentral's name for it is "bacterial SSU rRNA". It matches the Rfam family "Bacterial small subunit ribosomal RNA", at positions 1 to 917 of the family's 1533-position model. The record is from RNAcentral.
UGGAUCCAGACUUUGAUUAUGGCUCAGGACGAACGCUGGCGGCGCGCCUAACACAUGCAAGUCGAACGAGCGAGAGAGAGCUUGCUUUCUCGAGCGAGUGGCGAACGGGUGAGUAACGCGUGAGGAACCUGCCUCAAAGAGGGGGACAACAGUUGGAAACGACUGCUAAUACCGCAUAAGCCCACGGUGCCGCAUGGCACAGAGGGAAAAGGAGCAAUCCGCUUUGAGAUGGCCUCGCGUCCGAUUAGCUGGUUGGUGAGGUAACGGCCCACCAAGGCGACGAUCGGUAGCCGGACUGAGAGGUUGAACGGCCACAUUGGGACUGAGACACGGCCCAGACUCCUACGGGAGGCAGCAGUGGGGAAUAUUGCACAAUGGGGGAAACCCUGAUGCAGCGACGCCGCGUGGAGGAAGAAGGUCUUCGGAUUGUAAACUCCUGUUGUUGAGGAAGAUAAUGACGGUACUCAACAAGGAAGUGACGGCUAACUACGUGCCAGCAGCCGCGGUAAAACGUAGGUCACAAGCGUUGUCCGGAAUUACUGGGUGUAAAGGGAGCGCAGGCGGGAGAACAAGUUGGAAGUGAAAUCCAUGGGCUCAACCCAUGAACUGCUUUCAAAACUGUUUUUCUUGAGUAGUGCAGAGGUAGGCGGAAUUCCCGGUGUAGCGGUGGAAUGCGUAGAUAUCGGGAGGAACACCAGUGGCGAAGGCGGCCUACUGGGCACCAACUGACGCUGAGGCUCGAAAGUGUGGGUAGCAAACAGGAUUAGAUACCCUGGUAGUCCACACCGUUAACGAUGAUUACUAGGUGUUGGAGGAUUGACCCCUUCAGUGCCGCAGUUAACACAAUAAGUAAUCCACCUGGGGAGUACGACCGCAAGGUUGCAACUCAAAUGAAUUGACGGA